Molecule: unclassified non-coding RNA, 1895 nt
Filed under: Eurytemora carolleeae
Lineage: Eukaryota; Metazoa; Arthropoda; Copepoda; Calanoida; Temoridae
Description: inositol monophosphatase 3
Source: RNAcentral
UUGUUUGUUUUGUACAUAUGUGCAAAUGUACAUUGUACGAGUAUGCCCAUUAUUGCAUAUUUAUCAUUAAGAAUACAGAAUUGAAAAAUGUUUGGUGAACCGUGUUUAGUGGAACACAAUAUGACAAUUCUUUCAGAUAUAAAAACCUUUAGAGACAAUCAGAGGUUGGCCAGGACCCUUAGGGACCACCUCCAAGAGGACAGGUGUAAUCAGGAUCAAAUAAAUUUAUCAACACCUUCCAAAAUGGUGAACUUCGGUGGGGCAAUUAGGUUGAAUCCUCCGGCAAUUUUCUUAAUCUGUGGUAUAGUAGGACUAAUAGUGUUCUUUAAUAUGGGAAGAUCCACAGCUCCGCAUCCCAAUAUAUCCUUGAAACAGCUGUUAGCUGUCUCCAUUCAUGCAGCUGUCAAGGGAGGGAUAGAGGUUGUCAGGGUAAGAGAAGAAGCAGAUAUAGGAGAGAGUAGUAAAGGAAAAACAAAAGAGGGAGCUAAUGAUCCUAAAACUAAUGGAGACAUGUUCUCCCACAGGGCAAUGUACUGGGGAAUAAAGAAGGCGUUUCCACACAUAAAUGUUAUCAGUGAAGAACAUGACGUAGAGGAAGUGGAUCUCUCUACAGUAGAGAUGCCCAGCUUAGACAAUCCGGAAGUAGAAUCUAUAGUGGAUGAUGAUACAUUAGUUCCUCCUGGUGAAAUUUCUGUUUGGAUAGAUCCUUUAGACGCUACACAGGAGUACACAGAAAACCUGCGUCAUUUUGUUACAACGAUGGUGUGCGUGGCAAUCAACGGAGUUCCUGUGAUUGGUAUUAUUCAUAAACCCUUCGAGAAGUUGACCGCCUGGGGAUGGGCUGGACCUGACUACAGAUCUAAGAGUGUUAAUGAUGAUCUGAAGGCGGGUAAGGGUUUAGAACAUGAUAUUUCUAAAGCAAGAAUUAUUGUCUCCAGGUCACACGCUGGUUCCGUAAAUGCUACAGCUCAGUCGGCCUUAGGACAAGAUAUCGUUGUUACACCUGCUGGAGGAGCUGGUUAUAAAGCUUGGGAGGUUUUAAAGGGUAGCCAGGAUGCGUAUGUACACACUACACUGAUAAAGAAAUGGGAUAUAUGUGCUGGUAAUGCAAUCUUGAACUCAGCUGGGGGUCAGCUUACAACACUUAAAGGGGAGAGUAUUAAUUACAGUGGAGUAGAGGGGAAUGAGAAGAAUACUGGUGGAGUACUGGCAACCCUUUACCAUCACAAGAACUAUGUAGCCAAGCUGUCCCUACUGAUGGUUGAAACUAAGCGCAAAACUGCUGAAAAACGUGCCGCGUUUAAAACCUUAGUGAGAGAUAGACUAAGAAAACCGUGAUCAUGAAACUUCAUUUUUUUCAAAUUCUGGAAUAAAUAAGAAAUUGAUUUAAAUCAUUUCCUUCAAAACUGUUUUUUAAAUCCUUAUUCAAUCCUAGGUUUACAGAGACUCUCAAUAAACAUGUUACCAGUAUUACGUCUGACUGAAUUUUAUUCAAUUUUAAAACAAAAAGUUAAUUUUUAAUGAUAACAUAAGCUGGAGGAAUGUCAGUGAUUAUUUCAUAUUGUGAUAGUUUUUUUUUAUCCUUGUGACUAUUUAAUUGUAAAACGCCUUACUUUAUCAUAGCGAAAAAAAAUAAUCUGUAUUUUUAUAAAUAGCUUUGGUAGAUUAAUGCUCACAUUUUUGACAAUAACUUUGUAAGGAAACAGCUUAAAUUAAUCUUAACGUCUAAAGAUAUCCCUUAUUGGGGCUGCAAGUUCCGAUACUAAUUUUUUGACAAGAAAACCCAAUUCGUUUCCGUUAAAUUUUGUGAACUUUUAUUUUGUGUUUUGUAUUCAAUUCCCUAAAUCCCUAAAAAUAGGUUUAUAAUGUGAAUUAUUUAAUGAAAUGUGAACAGA